CGUAGCUCAGUAGGAUAGAGCGUAGGUUUCCUAAACCUGAGGUCGUGGGUUCAAUUCCCUCCGG
RNAcentral lists this transfer RNA (64 nucleotides) under bovine gut metagenome. It matches the Rfam family "tRNA", at positions 6 to 65 of the family's 71-position model. Rfam says of the family: Transfer RNA (tRNA) molecules are approximately 80 nucleotides in length. Their secondary structure includes four short double-helical elements and three loops (D, anti-codon, and T loops). The record is from RNAcentral.